AUACGGGGGAUGCAAGCGUUGUCCGGAAUCAUUGGGCGUAAAGGGUUCGUAGGUGGAAUUAUAAGUCUGGUGUGAAAGCCCACAGCUCAACUGUGGAACUGCACUGGAUACUGUUUUUCUUGAGUUAUAGAGGGGUUUGUGGAAUUUCUGGUGUAGAGGUGAAAUUUGUAGAGAUCAGAAAGAACACCGGUGGCGAAGGCGACAAACUGGCUAUUAACUGACACUGAGGAACGAAAGCGUGGGGAGCGAACAGGAUUAGAACCCCCAGUAGUCC
RNAcentral lists this ribosomal RNA (274 nucleotides) under uncultured bacterium. RNAcentral describes it as "partial 16S ribosomal RNA". It matches the Rfam family "Bacterial small subunit ribosomal RNA", at positions 523 to 796 of the family's 1533-position model. The record is from RNAcentral.